Molecule: ribosomal RNA, 633 nt
Filed under: uncultured crenarchaeote
Lineage: Archaea; Thermoproteati; Thermoproteota
Description: bacterial SSU rRNA
Rfam family: Archaeal small subunit ribosomal RNA
Source: RNAcentral
GCGAGUCAUUGUAGCAUACAAGGCAUACGGCUCAGUAACGCGUAGUCCACCUAACCUAUGGACGGGAAUAACCUCGGGAAACUGAGAAUAAUGCCCGAUAGAACAUUAUGCCUGGAAUGGUUUAUGUUCCAAAUGAUUUAUCGCCGUAGGAUGGGACUGCGGCCUAUCAGUUUGUUGGUGAGGUAAUGGCCCACCAAGACUAUUACAGGUACGGGCUCUGAGAGGAGUAGCCCGGAGAUGGGUACUGAGACACGGACCCAGGCCCUAUGGGGCGCAGCAGGCGAGAAAACUUUGCAAUGUGCGAAAGCACGACAAGGUUAAUCCGAGUGGUUUCUGCUAAAGAAACCUUUUGUCAGUCCUAGAAACACUGAUGAAUAAGGGGUGGGCAAGUUCUGGUGUCAGCCGCCGCGGUAAAACCAGCACCUCAAGUGGUCAGGAUGAUUAUUGGGCCUAAAGCAUCCGUAGCCGGCUCUGUAAGUUUUCGGUUAAAUCUGUACGCUCAACGUACAGGCUGCCGGGAAUACUGCAGAGCUAGGGAGUGGGAGAGGUAGACGGUACUCGGUAGGAAGGGGUAAAAUCCUUUGAUCUAUUGAUGACCACCUGUGGCGAAGGCGGUCUACCAGAACACGUCCG